Small nucleolar RNA from Paramormyrops kingsleyae, 139 nucleotides. Ensembl annotates it as small nucleolar RNA SNORD10. NCBI's taxonomy places the organism in Eukaryota, Metazoa, Chordata, Actinopteri, Osteoglossiformes, Mormyridae. The record is from Ensembl.
GUUUUGUGAUGAUCACCAUGCGUGUCAACUGAUCCCAGAAGCUGUCCUCGACUCCCGGCUGCCGGCCUGCGUUUUGCUGGCCGGCGAGCCUGGGGGCGAGAGGCUCUGGGGCUGUGAUAAGGAUGUCAAGGCUGAAAAC